Molecule: long non-coding RNA, 6380 nt
Filed under: Coffea arabica (coffee)
Lineage: Eukaryota; Viridiplantae; Streptophyta; Magnoliopsida; Gentianales; Rubiaceae
Description: long non-coding RNA (CARA_LNC001096)
Source: RNAcentral
AUGUAAAUCUCUUUACUAUUCGGGUGUUUCCAGUCACCAGAAAGAAAUUCAUGUACCUUGUUGUCCACCUCAAUUGAACUGCAACCUGGCUCCUUUUGGACCCCACUUUGCUUCAUCAUUGACCUUACUCUUGCAACCCCGUCCCAAUUGCCAGUAGCUGCAUAUAUAUUAGAAAGAAGAACAAAAGUUCCUGAAUUUGCAAUUUUAUGCUCCACAAGAGAUCCCGCAAUAACCUCUGCCAAAUUCAGGUUUCCAUGAAGUCUACAUGCAGCAAGUAGAGUUCCCCAUAAAACAGGAUCCGGGUCAAUCUUCAUGUUCUUAAUGAGCUGAUAUGCAUCUUCCAAGUGCCCAGCACGGCCAAGAAGAUUUACCAUACAUCCAUAAUGCUCAACCUUAGGCUGAAACCCAUAUUCAUCUUUCAUUAAAUUGAAAAAGGCCCAACCUUCAGAGAUCAGUCCAGCAUUAGCACAAGCAUUUAAAAUACCAAGAAAUGUUAUAUCAGUUGGUUCAACACACAUUCGACGCAUCUCAUUAAACAACUCUAAUGCUUCUCGGCUAAGCCCAUGCAUUGCAUAUCCCAGAAUCAUGGAAUUCCAUGCAACAACAUCCUUCAAGAUCAUUCCAUCAAACACUGCCCUAGCAUCCUCCAAACUUCCACAUUUGCUGUACAUAUCAACCAAAGCAGUACCAACAUGGACAUUUAUUUUAAUGCCAUUAUUCUUCAGGUAAGCAUGAACCCACAGGGCUGACUCCAAAGACCCCAAUUGCCCACAUGCAGAAAGAAUUGCAAGCAUAGUCACUUCAUUAGGCUUCACCUUUGCCGAUAACAUCUGCCUAAAAAGUACUAGAGCUUCAUUUGGCCUUCCAUGCUGAGUAUACCCAUCAAUCAUCACAUUCCAGCAGACUACAUCCCUGUCAUCCAUCUCAUUGAACAAAGCUCUCGCCUCAUCAACAUCCCCACUCUUUGCAUACCCAGUAAUCAUUGCCGUCAAUGAAACCAAACUUCUUUCAGGCAUUGUGUCAAACAAUUGACGGGCAGACACCACAUCACCACUUCUUGCAUAAAUAUCCACAAGUGCAGUUCUCACAUAUGUAUCACAGUCAAAUCUGAACUUGAGGGCUUGGCAAUGAAGAGCUCGCCCAAGAUCAAAAGGGCAAGCUUUAAGGAUAGCCGAGAACGUAAAUGCAUUGGGUUCAACGUUUUCCAUGAGCAUUUGAACGUAGUAAACCAAAGCUUCAUUAUGAAGAUUAUUCAUGGCAUGGCUAUGAAUGAUGGUAGUGUAAAAGAAAACAUUGGGAUUGUGAGAUUUCUUGAAAAGUGUAACUGUCUGUUGAAGAUAGCCAAAAGAAGAGUAAGAGCGCUGGAGCUUGAAAUUCAAGACAGGGUAAUUUUCAAAGCCAUGACGCAUGAGGAAUGCAUGAAUUUGUCGAAUGUGAUUGAUGGUUUUUGAUUUGUCGAUAAAAAAUGCAAGGUUAUCAGGAGAUGGUGGAGAAUAAUUUUUCUUGAUGGUUGUUUUGGUCGGUGUAAGUGUUGGUGGAGCGGUAAAAAGGGAAGUUGAAGACAUGAUUUACUAGCUGCGCCCCCAAAGCUUAGCUUUCACAAGAUUCAAGUUGUCAGAGAAACAAUUAAACCUGAAUGCUGGAGGGUCAUUACUGGUGCAAGCAUCUAAGAUAUCCAUUCUAUGUAAGACUAAGUAAACGCUGGACUAGCUGAGGAGUCAAUUUCUGCAGCAAGCAAUUUCCCUUGUUGAGAUAAAACCCGGAAUUAGUGCCUAACAGAUUAGAACUCAGGAAAAAUCAUGUAAGAUACACUUGAAAUAAAUGGAACAAGUUAAGAAGUGACAAACAAUUAUAGGCACUAGCGCAUGUUGGUGUUUUUAGUUAAUUUCAGAAAUUUUUGUACUAUCGGUUUAUUCAUUGCAAGUAAAGAGGUACGUCAAUCAAUUACAGAAGUUACCUUGAAAUGUCAUGUUUGUCGCAAUGCAUUUCGACUAUACAGCCUACGAAUACAGAUUUUUUACUGAAAAAAAGUCAGAGGCUUAAAAAAGAGAAACUCAAAGAAUUUUCUGGAAUUUUUUUGUUACUUCUCUACUCUACUAGAGUUGGAUUUCUGACAACUCUUACUGUAAUUUCCCUCCUUUUAUUUUCUUUUCUUUUCUUGCACCAGCUUGCCUUGUGAAGUCCUAGAAGAGCAAUAUGAAACCAAAGAAAGAAGAACAAUCUAAGCACAUCAACCUACUUCCUCCCGGAAAAGUUCACCUUGUGUAUCAAUUAUCAGCCAAACUUCAGAAGAAUUCCUCCUCGAACUGUUAUCUUUUGUGCACUUAAAUAGAGAAUGAUGCGCUCUUCCACUUACUAAUCUUUUGUAAAAGCUCUUGGUUCUACCAUUUCAAUUCCAUGAAGAUAGAGAAUGUAUUAACAAACUUCUAAUUUUCCAUCAAAUAUUGCUGGUAGAAUCUCAUAUUCAUCAUUUACAACCAUUGAAUAACAUAAUCUCGAAUUGGCACAGUAAAAAACUACCUCAAAACCCACAAGGGUCACAUCAAAAUCGAAACAUAAUGAGAUAUUUAAGCCAGUAAUUGCUUCAAACAGUUGGCAGGCAUCUUCAACUACCUUACUUAAUUCACACUAUACAAACGCUAGUUGAUUUCUUUUGUGCAUUCCCAAUGUUCGGGUACGUGGAUUUACAGCUAAAUUUGCAGUUAGAUAUUGUGGUCAAGUACAGAAAGACUACUAGAGAUAGAGAAGAUGUAUUCACCUGAGGAGCUUGAUAACUGCUGCUUAGGAGUCGGAGAGAAAUGGCGGAGGGAAGAAAGAUGGAGCCAUGCUGAUUAGUCCAUUUCUGUUUUCCUUUCCUUUCAGGAUAGCUUUGCGGAGAUGGAUUUGUUUGCGACGUCGUUUCCUGUCGUUGUUUACUCCCUAUUUGCUACUAGAGAAUAUUUCCUAGUAGCAUUUAUUUCUCAUUAACAUUAUUUGAGUAAUUUCACUUUUUCCUUCAAAAAAAAAAAGUGAUUUCAUUUUGGUUACUAUUUCCAAAUUGAGACUUUUUAUUCGUCUGAGGUAAAUUUUUCCCAAACCCUUUAACAAGAGCACAUGUCAGCCAAACCGUACUAGUUGUUUUUAUUCUUAAUAUGGAAUUGAGUCCUCAAAUGCUGGAAAAUCAAUUCCGUAAAAAAAUCAACUUUUCAAAAUUUCACUUGGCGCAUUAAAAUAUAGUUAAAAAAUGAAUCAAAUUAUUUGAUACUCGAAUUGAACUCGACUUGAUAAAAACUCGUUCAAAUUUAGUUCGUUAACUAAUCAAACCAAAUUUGAAUAAUGUUUUAUAUUUGAUAACAUUAUUCAAAUUCGAUUAAAAAAAUAACUCUCUCGAACUUGAUUUGACAAAUAAAUAAGUCAAAUUUGAACAAAAUUUCAUAUUCGUUAAAAUAAUCAAAUAAGUUUCAACUAGAAUAUUCAACUUAAUUAAGUUCAUUUACACCCCUACAUCAAAAAAUUCAAAAUUAAAAAAAAAAAAAAACAGAAUCCCUAACAAGCAUUACAAAAAACAAAAAGAAAAAAGCCCUCAUAAUUCUUGUUACGUGUAAAUAGAAAUUUGACGUAUUUAAAAUAAUGAAAAUAUCACCAUGAUCUCCCUUAUUUAUCUUGUGGUGCGCAUUUGCUUAAAUUUUUACGCCAACUAUUCUUCGUUGCUCCGGACUAAAAUCCAAAUUGAAGUUGCGUAAAAAACGAAGCAGAAAAGAAAAGAAAGAAAGAAAGAAAGCAAAUCUUAACCAAGUAACAAGAACUAUAAGAAGCAAAAUUAUCAAGCUUUUGACUUGCUUGAAUCCAAGUUCGGGCCCUACAAAAUAUUGAACCACAAAAUGUAUUCCAUUUUUACACUAACAUAUGCUUUAAACAUUGUCAAAAACUUCCUUUUACAUAAAAUCAAUACCUUAGCAAGUUCAAAUUGCCAAAUUCAUCUUUUCCAAAUCAUAAAAAUGCACCCCCUAGUUACAUAUAUUCUUGAACUUGAUCCAGCUGAAUCAACCUUAUACAAGCACUCAGCUAGAAAUCAAACAGGGCUCAAGUCAUACAAGUUAAACAAACCAUCCCAGCCACUCAAAACAAGCCAUUCCAAGCUUCUUCUUCUUUCCCCCCCCCCCCCUUGCUCCUGAAAACAAGUAGCAUUGUUCAUUGAUCUGCUACAGAUUGGAGGAGGGAUUUUAAGAAUAGAAGAAAAUAAAUAAGAACCAUGGGUUUAUGAUGAUCUACAUUCUUUUGGCACAAAACUGAAGCUUAUGAGGACGAAUUUUAAUCCUCAGAGUCUCUGCUUUCAGGAAGUACUAUUCCUUCUGAAUUGAUGAACCUGUUUGUUGCACCAAAAAUAUCAGCUAGUUGCAGAACUGUUGUUUGACAUGUAGCAGUCAUUGGCAGGAAUGUAUCUGGAAGGCUAGGGACACAUUCAGGGAGAAACUCAAUCUUUAUGGAUGUUCGAGUAUACAGGCCGAGCACUGCCCGACAAAAUAUGAAUCUGCAAAAGGGCAACAUACUUUCACCUCCAAAACGUAUAUUAUUUUCAAAAAGAGGCUCUUCUAAAGCCAAAGGACAGUCUACUACAAUGAACCCAAAAUUUAAAACCAAAAAAAAAAUAACAAUAAUAAUAAAAUAAAGGAUCUUAAAGCCCAUAAAGCAAUGUGUCUUUCGGAUGUUCCAACAUUUAGCUGCUUUCAAUGUAAAUAGAAGUCAAAACGCUUGAUGUACUGAACUACUGAUAGCUUGAAAUUUCAUGUUCACCAGAGGUCCACAAGUUCAAAUCAAAUAGGUACUAGGCAAAGGAUAAUUGAGAAAAGUAUAAGCAGCACUUAAUUACCUCAGGAGGAGGAGUCUAAUGAAUGGAUCAGCCAAAAUUUGAGCCCAAACAGGAUUAAGAUUGUCUGAUGCAGCCAGUAGUGAUCCCCACUCAUUUAACGAUGAGGAAAGCAACUUCUCAGCUUUAUUAUACAAAUCCUGACAACACAUACUUCUUCUGAGACUUUGCUGAUCCUUAAAGAAAAUUAAACUAAAAAGUGGAAAAAACUGAAGGGAACACUAUUGACUACUAUCUAACCGUCUCAAUAUCAGAGCUGGUAAAACCAAGCAUAAGAAUAAAAGCCUGCAGAGGAGCUGUCAGGAAAUUGGUGAAUGGACUUCCACCAGGCUGGCGAGAAGAGUCAACAACUGAUAUAGGCAAUGAGGCAGUGGGUGACAGGAGCAUGGCAACUGGCUCUCCUUUUUCAGCUCCAUGUAUAGCCUAUCCACGGUGCAUGCCACAACUAGGUGAUGUCAAUAGUUAUCAACUCCUAGAAAUUGAUUUAUCAGUACUUUUAAACGAAACAGAGACUUCCAUUUAAAAUUUUACAAUGUAUUUUCUAAACGAAACAGAGAAUUCCAUUUACAAUUGUUUACGAUGUAUUUUCAAUGUCGAACACAAUACCGAAGCAACUUCAAUGACUGACCAACAGAAACUUCCAUUUCAACUUAGUCGGUGUACAUUAUAAUGUACAGUUUUGAUAGCAAAUGAAUACAAAGGUUUCUCUAUGUGUAUCAUUCACCAGUAAUCACCGCAAGAGCAAGAACCAUCCACAAAAUGGUGAAAUCGGUUUCGAUCCCUCACAAUUAUUUUGCGUCCUGUAAUUUUUGAGAUGAGCUUAGUAACAGUAUGACAAUCUAGACAUACCCUUAGGUUCUUGACAAUCUUAAUAGUAGUUCCCUGACUGGUACUUAUAAGUCCAAAGGCAAUUGCAAGCUUUUCACUAUGAACUUCAAGCGAUCGCUCUUUCUCAGUGUCUCCAAUAUCAUGUAACACUGUGUCUAUCUUAGGUACAUAUCCAUGAGCUUUUAGCCGUCGAUUCAUCUCCUCUAACAUCAUGUAAAUCUCUUUACUAUUCGGGUGUUUCCAGUCACCAGAAAGAAAUUCAUGUACCUUGUUGUCCACCUCAAUUGAACUGCAACCUGGCUCCUUUUGGACCCCACUUUGCUUCAUCAUUGACCUUACUCUUGCAACCCCGUCCCAAUUGCCAGUAGCUGCAUAUAUAUUAGAAAGAAGAACAAAAGUUCCUGAAUUUGCAAUUUUAUGCUCCACAAGAGAUCCCGCAAUAACCUCUGCCAAAUUCAGGUUUCCAUGAAGUCUACAUGCAGCAAGUAGAGUUCCCCAUAAAACAGGAUCCGGGUCAAUCUUCAUGUUCUUAAUGAGCUGAUAUGCAUCUUCCAAGUGCCCAGCACGGCCAAGAAGAUUUACCAUACAUCCAUAAUGCUCAACCUUAGGCUGAAACCCAUAUUCAUCUUUCAUUAAAUUGAAAAAGGCCCAACCUUCAGAGAUCAGUCCAGCAUUAGCACAAGCAUUUAAAAUACCAAGAAAUGUU